Molecule: ribosomal RNA, 506 nt
Filed under: uncultured bacterium
Lineage: Bacteria
Description: partial 16S ribosomal RNA
Rfam family: Bacterial small subunit ribosomal RNA
Source: RNAcentral
AUUGAACGCUGGCGGCAGGCCUAACACAUGCAAGUCGAACGGUAACAGGAAACAGCUUGCUGUUUCGCUGACGAGUGGCGGACGGGUGAGUAAUGUCUGGGAAACUGCCUGAUGGAGGGGGAUAACUACUGGAAACGGUAGCUAAUACUGCAUAACGUCGCAAGACCAAAGAGGGGGACCUGCGGGCCUCUUGCCAUCGGAUGUGCCCAGAUGGGAUUAGCUAGUUGGUGGGGUAACGGCUCACCAAGGCGACGAUCCCUAGCUGGUCUGAGAGGAUGACCAGCCACACUGGAACUGAGACACGGUCCAGACUCCUACGGGAGGCAGCAGUGGGGAAUAUUGCACAAUGGGCGCAAGCCUGAUGCAGCCAUGCCGCGUGUAUGAAGAAGGCCUUCGGGUUGUAAAGUACUUUCAGCGGGGAGGAAGGGAGUAAAGUUAAUACCUUUGCUCAUUGACGUUACCCGCAGAAGAAGCACCGGCUAACUCCGUGCCAGCCGCCGCCGUAA